AGUGAACGCUGGCGGUAGGCCUAACACAUGCAAGUCGAACGGCAGCACAGUAAUAUCUUGCGCUUACGGGGGGCGAGUGGCGGACGGGUGAGGAAUAUAUCGUAAUCUACUUUUUCGUGUGGGAUAACGUAGGGAAACUUACUCUCAUACCGCAUCCGACCUACGGGUGAAGGCGGGGGAUCUUUGGACCUUUCGCGGUUGAAUUCGCCGAUGUCGGAUUAGCUAGUUGGGGGGGUAAUGGCCCACCAAGGCGCCGAUCGGUAGCUGGAGUGAGAGGAGGAUCAGCGACCCUGGAGCGUGGACAGCCACAAGACUCCUAAGAGACGCAGCAGAGGCGAAUAGUAGACAACGGGGGCAAGCAUGAUCCAGCCAUCCCGCGUGGGUGAAGAAGGCCUUCGGGUUGUAAAGACGUUUUGUUGGGAAAGAAAAGCAGCCGGUUAAUACCCAGCUGUUCUGACGGUAACCAAAGAAGAAGCACCGGCUAACUUCGUG
This 492-nucleotide ribosomal RNA is filed under the name uncultured bacterium. Its description in RNAcentral is "partial 16S ribosomal RNA". It matches the Rfam family "Bacterial small subunit ribosomal RNA", at positions 29 to 507 of the family's 1533-position model. The record is from RNAcentral.